Molecule: long non-coding RNA, 200 nt
Filed under: Elaeis guineensis (African oil palm)
Lineage: Eukaryota; Viridiplantae; Streptophyta; Magnoliopsida; Arecales; Arecaceae
Description: long non-coding RNA (EGUI_LNC049268)
Source: RNAcentral
UCAAGAUCAGCUUGAAAUAGUCCUCUUUGGUGUUGAUUUUUUUUCUCCAAGAACAAUCACCCUGCGAAUCUGAACGAAGCUUGGAUUAUGAAGCAACUAAGAUCUAAAAAUUAGUAAAGAAAAAGAGAUGCCCAAUCUCCUCUUGGGUGUGGAGAUGGAGGACACCCAACUAGUUUGGGCGUUGGAUCCAAAGGGAGAAG